Molecule: ribosomal RNA, 253 nt
Filed under: uncultured bacterium
Lineage: Bacteria
Description: partial 16S ribosomal RNA
Rfam family: Bacterial small subunit ribosomal RNA
Source: RNAcentral
UACGUAGGGAGCAAGCGUUGUCCGGAAUCAUUGGGCGUAAAGCGCGCGUAGGCGGCCCGAUAAGUCCGUUGUGAAAGUCAAAGGCUCAACCUUUGAAUGCCGAUGGAUACUGUCGGGCUAGAGUCCGGAGGAGGCGAGUGGAAUUCCUGGUGUAGCGGUGGAAUGCGCAGAUAUCAGGAGGAACACCAAUAGCGAAGGCAGCUCGCUGGGACGGUACUGACGCUAAGGCGCGAAAGCGUGGGGAGCGAACAGG